This 808-nucleotide ribosomal RNA is filed under the name uncultured bacterium. Its description in RNAcentral is "bacterial SSU rRNA". It matches the Rfam family "Bacterial small subunit ribosomal RNA", at positions 63 to 865 of the family's 1533-position model. The record is from RNAcentral.
CGAGCGGGGGAUGUUGCUUCGCUAACUGACCUAGCGGCGGACGGGUGAGUAAUGCUUAGGAAUCUGCCUAUUAGUGGGGGACAACAUUCCGAAAGGAAUGCUAAUACCGCAUACGCCCUACGGGGGAAAGCAGGGGAUCUUCGGACCUUGCGCUAAUAGAUGAGCCUAAGUCAGAUUAGCUAGUUGGUGGGGUAAAGGCCUACCAAGGCGACGAUCUGUAGCGGGUCUGAGAGGAUGAUCCGCCACACUGGGACUGAGACACGGCCCAGACUCCUACGGGAGGCAGCAGUGGGGAAUAUUGGACAAUGGGCGGAAGCCUGAUCCAGCCAUGCCGCGUGUGUGAAGAAGGCCUUUUGGUUGUAAAGCACUUUAAGCGAGGAGGAGGCUACCGAGACUAAUACUCUUGGAUAGUGGACGUUACUCGCAGAAUAAGCACCGGCUAACUCUGUGCCAGCAGCCGCGGUAAUACAGAGGGUGCGAGCGUUAAUCGGAUUUACUGGGCGUAAAGCGUGCGUAGGCGGCUUUUUAAGUCGGAUGUGAAAUCCCUGAGCUUAACUUAGGAAUUGCAUUCGAUACUGGGAAGCUAGAGUAUGGGAGAGGAUGGUAGAAUUCCAGGUGUAGCGGUGAAAUGCGUAGAGAUCUGGAGGAAUACCGAUGGCGAAGGCAGCCAUCUGGCCUAAUACUGACGCUGAGGUACGAAAGCAUGGGGAGCAAACAGGAUUAGAUACCCUGGUAGUCCAUGCCGUAAACGAUGUCUACUAGCCGUUGGGGCCUUUGAGGCUUUAGUGGCGCAGCUAACGCGAUAAGU